UUAACUUUGGGUGUUAAGCACAUUAAAUUUUGAUUUUAAAGGUAGCGAUUAUAAGCGUUAAAGUUAAU
RNAcentral lists this transfer RNA (68 nucleotides) under Quadristernoseta cf. intermedia XFX-2019. Its description in RNAcentral is "tRNA-Gln". Lineage: Eukaryota; Metazoa; Arthropoda; Arachnida; Mesostigmata; Diplogyniidae. The record is from RNAcentral.